Mobula hypostoma (lesser devil ray) is the source of this 546-nucleotide long non-coding RNA. RefSeq lists it as uncharacterized. The transcript is spliced from 4 exons. Lineage: Eukaryota; Metazoa; Chordata; Chondrichthyes; Myliobatiformes; Myliobatidae. The record is from RefSeq and is a predicted model, not a curated record.
UGACUGACGCCCUACCUACUCACAGUCCACCUAAAGAAAAAACUGUGCAACAGCAGACAAUUUGCUGGAGGAACUCAGAAGGACUGUGUAUUUUCGAUUCAAUGCUACAGAAGAACCUUGGUAAUCCAAGAUCAUAGAAAAUGAGAAGACGGCUUUCAUAGAAAGAACUUGAAAGAAAAGAAGCAUGAAUCUUGACACAAGCUCAAGAAGUCAUACCAGAUCUGAUAAAUCAGAAGACCCAAAGAAGCAGCAUGCCUGUCAUGAAGAAGAAGAACAAUUUUGGAGUGGAGACAACUACAUCAGUCCUUCAUGGCUGCAAAUUCACAGGCAGAAAAUUAUUACAUUGUUGUAUACUGACAUACAGACCAUUUGUGUCCAUGAGAGUAAAUUACCAAUGUCUAUAUGAGUAAAUUGUUGCCUCAGUUCUCAAAUUUACUUAUUACAAAAUGUGUACUAACCAUGUUUAUCACUCAUGUUCAAAAUGUUGUCAUUAAAAUUAUGUAAGUGCUGUUUACAUUGAAAUUACAAGCUGGUAUUUAUGCAGAU